This is an RNA transcript of Capra hircus (goat), 562 nucleotides long. It is a transcript of the gene named 40S ribosomal protein S24 pseudogene, with no coding region annotated. The record is from RefSeq and is a predicted model, not a curated record. NCBI's taxonomy places the organism in Eukaryota, Metazoa, Chordata, Mammalia, Artiodactyla, Bovidae. The transcript has a single exon.
GAUCUUUAAAAUUCUCUUCUGCUCUUUUCCUCCCUGGCUGCUUGAAGAUCAGCCGCCAUCAUGAACGACACAGUAACUAUCCAGACUAGGAAGUUCAUGACCAACCGACUGCUUCAGCGGAAACAAAUGGUCAUGGAUGUUCUUCACCCUGGAAAGGCAACAGUACCUAAAACAGAAAUUCGGGAAAAACUGGCCAAAAUGUACAAGACCACACCAGAUGUCAUCUUUGUAUUUGGAUUCAGAACUCAUUUUGGUGGUGGCAAGACAACUGGCUUCGGCAUGAUUUACGAUUCCUUGGAUUACGCGAAGAAGAAUGAGCCCAAACAUAGGCUUGCAAGACAUGGCCUGUAUGAGAAGAAAAAGACCUCAAGAAAACAGCGAAAGGAACGCAAGAACAGAAUGAAGAAAGUCAGGGGGACUGCAAAGGCCAACGUUGGUGCUGGUAAAAAGUGAGCUGGAGAUUGGACAACAGAAGGAGUAAAGAUUCUGCAGUGACUGUAUCUGUGGUGAUUGUGCAGAUUUUUCAUGAAAGAGAAAAUAAACUAAGACCUUUUACAAAAAA